GUGCCAGCCGCCGCGGUAAUACGUAGGGGGCAAGCGUUGUCCGGAAUCAUUGGGCGUAAAGAGCGUGUAGGCGGCCCGAUAAGUCCGCCGUGAAAGUCCAGGGCUCAACCCUGGAAUGCCGGUGGAAACUGUCGGGCUGGAGUCCGGAAGAGGCGAGUGGAAUUCCUGGUGUAGCGGUGAAAUGCGCAGAUAUCAGGAGGAACACCAAUGGCGAAGGCAGCUCGCUGGGACGGUACUGACGCUGAGACGCGAAAGCGUGGGGAGCAAACAGGAUUAGAAACCCUCGUAGUCC
This 292-nucleotide ribosomal RNA is filed under the name uncultured bacterium. RNAcentral describes it as "partial 16S ribosomal RNA". It matches the Rfam family "Bacterial small subunit ribosomal RNA", at positions 505 to 796 of the family's 1533-position model. The record is from RNAcentral.